CUCCCCAUUUCCUCGUCUCAGCUUCUCCUGACGUUUAAUUUCUUCCCUUCUUCUUCUUCUUCUUCUUCUUCUUCUCGGUGAUUUGAGUUUUGUUUGUUUUCUGCUUCAUGGAAGGACCUUGAGUUCUGUUCCGCUUUUUCACUCCAUGCAUUUCUGGUCUUGAUUCUUCAUUCCGUUUCUCUCUGUUACUGGUUUGAUCCUCAGCUGUUCUGUUCGAUUCCCAGACAAACAAGUGGCUUAAGUUUCGAGGAAAAUCGCUCUGAUGUCUCCACCACUGCUUAGUGUGGAUAAGGAAGUGGCUUCAAUGCCCAGCAGCCAUAUUCCUCAGAGGGCCUUGUCUUUG
Long non-coding RNA from Tarenaya hassleriana, 343 nucleotides. RefSeq lists it as uncharacterized. The transcript has 2 exons. The record is from RefSeq and is a predicted model, not a curated record. Lineage: Eukaryota; Viridiplantae; Streptophyta; Magnoliopsida; Brassicales; Cleomaceae.